RNAcentral lists this ribosomal RNA (768 nucleotides) under uncultured bacterium. RNAcentral's name for it is "bacterial SSU rRNA". It matches the Rfam family "Bacterial small subunit ribosomal RNA", at positions 59 to 840 of the family's 1533-position model. The record is from RNAcentral.
CAGUCGAACGGAGCUUAGAGAGCUUGCUUUUUAAGCUUAGUGGCGAACGGGUCAGUAACGCGUGAGUAACCUGCCCUAGAGUGGGGGACAACAGUUGGAAACGACUGCUAAUACCGCAUAAGCCCACGGUACCGCAUGGCACUGAGGGAAAAGGAUUUAUUCGCUUUAGGAUGGACUCGCGUCCAAUUAGCUAGUUGGUGAGGUAACGGCCCACCAAGGCGACGAUUGGUAGCCGGACUGAGAGGUUGAACGGCCGCAUUGGGACUGAGACACGGCCCAGACUCCUACGGGAGGCAGCAGUGGGGGAUAUUGCACAAUGGGGGAAACCCUGAUGCAGCGACGCCGCGUGGAGGAAGAAGGUUUUCGGAUUGUAAACUCCUGUCGUUAGGGACGAUAAUGACGGUACCUAACAAGAAAGCACCGGCUAACUACGUGCCAGCAGCCGCGGUAAAACGUAGGGUGCAAGCGUUGUCCGGAAUUACUGGGUGUAAAGGGAGCGCAGGCGGGAAGACAAGUUGGAAGUGAAAACCAUGGGCUCAACCCAUGAAUUGCUUUCAAAACUGUUUUUCUUGAGUAGUGCAGAGGUAGAUGGAAUUCCCGGUGUAGCGGUGGAAUGCGUAGAUAUCGGGAGGAACACCAGUGGCGAAGGCGGUCUACUGGGCACCAACUGACGCUGAGGCUCGAAAGCAUGGGUAGCAAACAGGAUUAGAUACCCUGGUAGUCCAUGCCGUANACGAUGAUUACUAGGUGUUGGGGGNUUGACCCCCU